CCUCACACCCCCGUUUGCAGCAUUGAUAAAAAUGCCAGUAUUUCAACUCCGGUUCUCCUGAUCUACGUUCGAUCUUCGUUACUCCUGACCUGGUUCACUCACCUCCGUCCACCGUCGUGUGAGCUGGGCUCGCCUAUCUGCCCUCUUCCCUCGGACAUCCUCCCGGCUCCUCCUCGGUCCCCGGUGCCCCUCGGCUCCCUCGCCUGAACCUCCUCAGUCCUCCAUGCCAGCGUCCCCGGCGUCCACCUUUCCCUCAUCACCACUCCCUCAGCCCCCUUUCCCUAAAUACAGUAAACCUGUUUGAAACUGA
Long non-coding RNA from Micropterus dolomieu (smallmouth bass), 310 nucleotides. RefSeq lists it as uncharacterized. The transcript has 2 exons. NCBI's taxonomy places the organism in Eukaryota, Metazoa, Chordata, Actinopteri, Centrarchiformes, Centrarchidae. The record is from RefSeq and is a predicted model, not a curated record.